CUCACAUCUUUCCAUGUCGUUCUCCACACCUUAUCAGCACGACCGUCCCCACUGUCCUGUUGGUGCCAUGGUCACCAUCCUGCUCUGUAAUUGACGCCGUGAUAGCACAAGAAGAGAGAGGGGAAACAAGCAACGUAAAAUUGGACUGGCUUUGUGGAAGAAGAUGCUCUCGUGAAUCGGAAGGAAACAAGGUGUUAAGGCAGCAGAAACUUAAAAUAGUCAUCUCUUUCACUCUUGCGAACAGGAGUACUCACCAGCUUAAUCAGUGACUACAUGAAUUAUAAGCAAGGCACACGCUUAUAAUCAUUUUGUUUAAUUUAUCCAUUUUAACCCCCAAGGCACACACCAGU
RNAcentral lists this long non-coding RNA (350 nucleotides) under Elaeis guineensis (African oil palm). Its description in RNAcentral is "long non-coding RNA (EGUI_LNC019031)". The record is from RNAcentral. Lineage: Eukaryota; Viridiplantae; Streptophyta; Magnoliopsida; Arecales; Arecaceae.